Molecule: non-coding RNA, 64 nt
Organism: Podarcis lilfordi (Lilford's wall lizard)
Lineage: Eukaryota; Metazoa; Chordata; Lepidosauria; Squamata; Lacertidae
Source: the annotation of a GenBank genome assembly
GCAGCUCGGUAGUAGAGCACCUGCUUUGCAUGCAGGUACCCAGGUUCGAUGGCUGGCAUCUCCA